CGCCCGGCCCCCUCCCGCCGCGGACGCAGCGAGUUUCCUUCGGGCCGCGGCGCGGUCCGGCGCCUCAGCCCUCGCGGGCCCUCUCAGCACCUGGGAGGAGGCUCAUGCCCGCCCCAAGGCCGCGCCGCCUCGGCCGGAGUUCCGGGCCUCUUCCUCCGGGUCUUUCCGCCGGUCAGCUCCGCGCCGCGCUCCGGAGGCCGUCGCGCGCGGUGCAGCCCCUUCUCUCAGGCGCCCGGGAGCAAAUCCAGACCCUAAGCCGCGCGGAUACCGGUGCCUAGUGGCGCGACAGAAAUUGUACCCCGCGCUCAACUUGUCGGCUCAGCCCGCGAGCGCCAGCGGUCGGCUCAUGAAUAUUUAUACACCUGGAUCUGGGCUCCGCCCCCACCCAGGCGCGCCAAUCACCGGGCUACCAACUCAUGAAUAUUUAUAUAGCCUGGACCAGGGCUCCGUCCCCGUCCGGGAGCGCCAAUCACCGGCGGCGGGGCGGAGCCCACGCGCCCAGGGCGCUGCUGUCCUUAAGGAAGUCCUCGGCGUCCGCGCGGCCCUGCGCGCCUUCUGCUCUGGGGAGUUCGGUCAGCUUGCAGGCCCUUGCUUCCCCUGUGGGCACAUGAAUCCUUCUGUCAUGGAUCCACCCUGUGCUGAGGAACAGCAGCCAAUGAAGGAGGAGAGAUAUCUUGCCCCAGGAGGUUCCCACCCCUGUGAGAAAGACCUCCCCUGAAGGCCCUUAAUUAAUUGCCCCUCGGGGCACAUUGGCCUGAAUCUCCCCUGUGAACUUCCUGUGAGGCUAAGGUGCAGAUCUGGUGGGUAGCUUGUGAUAUGGGGCUUUGGUGUCAAGGAAGGGGACAAGGGAAUGACCCACAGUGUUGGCUAUACUAUUACCAUAUGAAAGAAAUGAAUUUGCAAGUGGUAUCAUUGGUUAGCAUACCAAGUGUUUAAACAUUAUGUUGCUUAGGGUCAGGAAUUAAGUGUAACCUCAAUCCAAGAAAAUGUUAUUUGCCCUUGAUACUGGGGCUGUAACCCAGGAAUCACUGACCUACAUCCCCUACUCCAUCCUCCCCUUUUAAAUUUUGUUUUGAGACAAUGUCUUGCCCAGGUUGGCCAUGAACUUGUGAUCUUCUUGCAUCAGCCUCCAGAGUAGCUGAGAUUACAGGACUGACAGAUCCAAGAAAAUCUUGGCAUUUACAUAAUUUUCUUUUUGAAGUUUAUACGCUGUAGUUUACUGUACAGAUAGUGAGAAAGAAAUGUCACUGUCUCCUAUGUGUUUUAUUUAUAAUGCAUAUAAAUUGUGUACUGCAGUCUAAUUCCUUAGUUCCUUUUCAUUAAGCUUUCCCCCAUCCUUCUUUUUGAGACUUCAAUGAAAAGAUUGCCAGUUCUAGAACUUUAGUUUGAUUUGUUCUUUUUAAGUCUUCCAUUAUGUAAGUUCUUGUAAGUAUAAAAUUAAAUCUAACACAGGAGAAGCUGUAUUUAAUUCCACCUCUGAACUGCAUGUCAAAGAACCUUUAAAUCAAAAUAAAUAUUGGUUCAGGAAAAAGUUUACUUCUGGUAAGAAUGAUCCAUUUUAAACAGUGGUUUGAAUAAUAAGCUUUUAUAUCAAUAAUAGAAAUAAUACUUAUUAGGUCACUAAGGGCAUGAAGAUGACAAUGGCAUUUCUUUCUAUUUUAUGUUUAUCUUUGACCUGAUUCAGGUAAACAGGUAUAAUUUUUUCCAGAGGUGACUACACUAGACUAUAUUUUCCAGGAUGAGUCUUGUAUGUCUUAGAAGCAAGUUUCCUUCUAUAGGGAUUACCUUAUGGUUUAUUCAAGUAUAAUUUGUUAUAUACUUUUCAUAUGGUUUGUAAAAAUAAAC
Molecule: long non-coding RNA, 1845 nt
Filed under: Chinchilla lanigera (long-tailed chinchilla)
Lineage: Eukaryota; Metazoa; Chordata; Mammalia; Rodentia; Chinchillidae
Description: lncRNA (ENSCLAG00000028922.1)
Source: RNAcentral